CUAAUACCGAAUACGAUCUUUUCGUCGCAUGACGGAAAGAAGAAAAAGGAAUGGCCUCUAUACAAAGCUAUCGCCGAAGGAGGGGUUUGCGUCUGAUUAGCUGGUUGGAGGGUAACGGCCCAACAAGGCGAUGAUCAGUAGCCGGUCUGAGAGGAUGAACGGCCACAUUGGGACUGAGACACGGCCCAGACUCCUACGGGAGGCAGCAGUGGGGAAUCUUCCGCAAUGGACGAAAGUCUGACGGAGCAACGCCGCGUGAGUGAAGAAGGUCUUCGGAUUGUAAAACUCUGUUAUACGGGACGAAAAAGACGGAUGCCAACAGUAUCCGUCCGUGACGGUACCGUAAGAGAAAGCCACGGGCUAACUACGUGCCAGCAGCCGCGGUAAAU
Molecule: ribosomal RNA, 389 nt
Filed under: uncultured Veillonellaceae bacterium
Lineage: Bacteria; Bacillati; Bacillota; Negativicutes; Veillonellales; Veillonellaceae
Description: bacterial SSU rRNA
Rfam family: Bacterial small subunit ribosomal RNA
Source: RNAcentral